AUACGUAGGGAGCAAGCGUUGUCCGGAAUUACUGGGUGUAAAGGGAGCGUAGGCGGGAUAGCAAGUCAGGUGUGAAAACUAUGGGCUCAACCCAUAGAUUGCACUUGAAACUGCUGUUCUUGAGUGAAGUAGAGGUAAGCGGAAUUCCUAGUGUAGCGGUGAAAUGCGUAGAUAUUAGGAGGAACAUCAGUGGCGAAGGCGGCUUACUGGGCUUUUACUGACGCUGAGGCUCGAAAGCGUGGGGAGCAAACAGGAUUAGAUACCCUGGUAGUCCACGCUGUAAACGAUGAAUACUAGGUGUGGGGGGACUGACCCCCUCCGUGCCGCAGUUAACACAAUAAGUAUUCCACCUGGGGAGUACGAUCGCAAGAUUGAAACUCAAAUGAAUUGACGGGG
Molecule: ribosomal RNA, 396 nt
Filed under: uncultured bacterium
Lineage: Bacteria
Description: partial 16S ribosomal RNA
Rfam family: Bacterial small subunit ribosomal RNA
Source: RNAcentral